This 764-nucleotide ribosomal RNA is filed under the name Rhodococcoides fascians. RNAcentral's name for it is "bacterial SSU rRNA". It matches the Rfam family "Bacterial small subunit ribosomal RNA", at positions 43 to 824 of the family's 1533-position model. Lineage: Bacteria; Bacillati; Actinomycetota; Actinomycetes; Mycobacteriales; Nocardiaceae. The record is from RNAcentral.
CGUGCUUAACACAUGCAAGUCGAGCGGUAAGGCCUUUCGGGGUACACGAGCGGCGAACGGGUGAGUAACACGUGGGUGAUCUGCCCUGCACUCUGGGAUAAGCUUGGGAAACUGGGUCUAAUACCGGAUAUGACUACAGCAUGCAUGUGUUGUGGUGGAAAGAUUUAUCGGUGCAGGAUGGGCCCGCGGCCUAUCAGCUUGUUGGUGGGGUAAUGGCCUACCAAGGCGACGACGGGUAGCCGACCUGAGAGGGUGACCGGCCACACUGGGACUGAGACACGGCCCAGACUCCUACGGGAGGCAGCAGUGGGGAAUAUUGCACAAUGGGCGGAAGCCUGAUGCAGCGACGCCGCGUGAGGGAUGAAGGCCUUCGGGUUGUAAACCUCUUUCAGCAGGGACGAAGCGUGAGUGACGGUACCUGCAGAAGAAGCACCGGCUAACUACGUGCCAGCAGCCGCGGUAAUACGUAGGGUGCGAGCGUUGUCCGGAAUUACUGGGCGUAAAGAGUUCGUAGGCGGUUUGUCGCGUCGUUUGUGAAAACCCGGGGCUCAACUUCGGGCUUGCAGGCGAUACGGGCAGACUUGAGUGUUUCAGGGGAGACUGGAAUUCCUGGUGUAGCGGUGAAAUGCGCAGAUAUCAGGAGGAACACCGGUGGCGAAGGCGGGUCUCUGGGAAACAACUGACGCUGAGGAACGAAAGCGUGGGUAGCAAACAGGAUUAGAUACCCUGGUAGUCCACGCCGUAAACGGUGGGCGCUAGGUGUG